UUUGUCAACAAAAAAAAAAAAGAUUAAUGAUUGAAUAUAAUUGAAUAAUUGAUGGGCCAAGCUAACACCUUUUAUACAAUCACGACAAACAUAAAGUCUCAAUUAAUCCAAUUUUCUUUUUUUCAUAUUUGCUUGGAUUCUCAUUUCAAAGAACCAACUAAUGGUCACUUCCAUUUUUCAAUCAUCAAAUUAUCCAAAGGGACUCUAGGCACCACCACAAAGAGAUAAUAAAGCACUUCUAGACAUCACCAAUCUCUUGAAUUCAUACCAAACAAUGAUUUACUCUUACACCUUUACAAUCAAACUAAAAACAAACAUGAAUCACAUAACAACAUCUCAUACAUAACAUAAAACAUUACCAAUAAUU
This 367-nucleotide long non-coding RNA is filed under the name Trifolium pratense (red clover). Its description in RNAcentral is "long non-coding RNA (TPRA_LNC004638)". Lineage: Eukaryota; Viridiplantae; Streptophyta; Magnoliopsida; Fabales; Fabaceae. The record is from RNAcentral.